GACGUAAGGGGCAAGCGUUGUCCGGAAUCAUUGGGCGUAAAGAGCUCGUAGGCGGCUCAAUAAGUCGGGUGUGAAACCCCCAGGCUCAACCUGGGGACGCCACCCGAUACUGUUGUGGCUAGAGUCCAGUAGGGGAGUGUGGAAUUCCCGGUGUAGCGGUGAAAUGCGCAGAUAUCGGGAGGAACACCAGCGGCGAAGGCGGCACUCUGGGCUGGUACUGACGCUGAGGAGCGAAAGCGUGGGUAGCAAACAGG
This 254-nucleotide unclassified non-coding RNA is filed under the name uncultured Acidimicrobiia bacterium. RNAcentral's name for it is "contains 16S-23S intergenic spacer region". It matches the Rfam family "Bacterial small subunit ribosomal RNA", at positions 524 to 776 of the family's 1533-position model. Lineage: Bacteria; Bacillati; Actinomycetota; Acidimicrobiia. The record is from RNAcentral.